Camellia sinensis is the source of this 5929-nucleotide non-coding RNA. NCBI's taxonomy places the organism in Eukaryota, Viridiplantae, Streptophyta, Magnoliopsida, Ericales, Theaceae. The record is from RefSeq and is a predicted model, not a curated record.
GUCGAAAGAGAAUGUGUUUAUUGGGUCAAUUAAUCAAGGAACCACCAGUACCAAAUUCAUUCUCUACGACAAAAAUGCCCACCCAAUUGGAUCUCACUAGGUCGAGUUCACUCAGUUCUACCCACAAGCAGGAUGGGUAGAGCACGAUCCAAUGGAGAUUCGGGAGCAAGGCAAUUGACAAUUGACAAAGUCACUGUAGAUGGGUACAAUGUUGACGGUGGACUCAAGGCAAUUGGACUCACCAAUCAGAGAGAAACAACGGUCGUUUGGAGCAAAUCUACUGCUUUCCAUCUCUAUAACGCCAUUGUUUGGAUGGAUGUUCGUACCAGUUCUAUUUGCAGGUCCAUUUCUCUAUUCAUUCAUUGAUUCAUCCUGUUUCUUUUUAAUUAUUAUUAUUAUUAUUAUUUUAUCAUUUUGGUUUUGCAAAUUGAAGAUCUGGAACUGUGUUUAUCGAUUCUUAUUAAUACCCAUUUCUUGAAUUGUCUGAUUUUAUAUUGGUUUCCCCCACCCCCCCGGGGAUUGUGAGGAUAUUUUGUUCUUUGGAUGUGAUUUUAUAUUGUCUGAUUUUAUCAAAAACUGUUGCAUGUAAAUUGCACUAACUUUUCCUAGAAUUUGAAACAUAAGCCUUUGAUUUUAGUUAUAUUUGCUUAUAUAGUGGUGCCGAUCAUGUGCAAGAUGGUAAGCAUGCUCUAUUAAAUAAGUUUUAGUUAUUUUCGCAUCUAUAGAUGCAAACACAAUAACACAAUAACUACCAUCUAUUUGGAAUCACUUAAAAUAUACACAUUUUUCAUAAUUAAUAUUCCAGUUAAUUUUUUUUAUAUAUAUUGGGUUGAAAGUGGGAAAUAUAUGAGUAAAUAUAUAAUAAUUCAUUUACAUAAUAAUUUAGAAAACAAAAUUAUAAUUUUUUUAUUUUUUAUACUUAAUCAAUUAGUUUCAACAAUUGAUUGAUGGGACUUUACUCUUGAUGAGUGAUCAAUUAGUUAAAAUUUAUAUAACAAAAAAACUCUGUUUUUUACUCCUGAUGGGACUUUUGUCCCUUUGUAAAAACCAGGACCAUUAGAUUGAAUUCAAUCUAAGGGUUCACAAUGUCUCACUCUCUAUUUGGUCCAAAAUGCAAUCACCUUACAUUUUCAACACACCCUCUCUCUCUCUCUCUCUCUGUCACACACACACACACUCCUCUCAAAUUUUGAACACACUCCUCUUUCAAAUUUUAAACACACACCCUCUCUCUCUCUCGGAGCCCAUUCACGUGCUUCCCUGUCAGCGACUGAACCCCAAACCCCCUAUUGCUCUCUUCUUCUUCUCUUCUCCUCCUUCCCUCUGUCUGCCAUCCCAAUCAUCAUCAACAGUGGCAGCCCCAAACCCCCUGAUUUCAAAUUUUGAACACACACCCUCUCUCUCUCUCUCUCUCUCUCUCUCUCUACCUCCAUUGGAGCCCAUUCCCGUGCUUCCAUGUUAGAACCCAACCAUUGCUGGCGACCGAACCCCAAACCCCCUAUUACUCUCAUCUUCUCUCUUCCUCCUCUCUCUGCCAUCCCAAUCGUCAUCAACAGUGGCAGCCCCAAAGACGAAGACCGAAUACAAGGGUGUUCAACAAAGAAAGAAUCUGGUAGAAAUACUGUUCAGGUGAGCAAACCCAUCUUAUUUGACAACCAAAAUUAAAACCUGUGCCCGUGUAUUUGGGAACCAAAAUUGGGUUGAAAGCAUAUACUGCUGUAUUGGAAUCCUGUGCCCGUGUAUGGGUUUCAUGAAGGUAAAUGUCCAAAAGACUUCACAAUUGCCUGUUUCGAAUAAUGAUAAAGCUUUUUUAAUAUUUAAUUUUUUUUAAAACCUGUUUUGUUUUGGUUUAUCAGUUCUCUUAGGCUGCUAACUUCUCUUUUGCUUAUUUGGUUGUAUUAAUUUCCUUAAUGUUUACAAAUGGAGUGCUUAUUUGGGGAUAAUGUCUAUGAUGCUUUAUUUUGCUUCACUUCACAUUGUGUUCAUAUGAUGCUUUUUAGUUGGUUUAUUAAACAUCAGUAGUUUUGGGAAUGAAAAUUUUCCCCAUUAUAUUUUGGGAAUGUAAACAUCAGUUAAUACACUUUAUAUUUGAGCAAACAAUGGGGAAAAUGGAAACCUGGGCUUUGAUUUUUCUUGAGUAUUUAUAUUUCUAUCUUUGGAUAUCUUUUGUUUCAAUAGUCUUUAAUUUCAAUAAUCAAUAUGUUUGUCCAAUUUAAUUGCUUUAUUGAUGUUUACAAUUUGUGAUUGAAACAUUGUGUCUGAUGUUUACAGUUUAUGUGAUUAUUUAUUUGGUUGGUUGUGUAGGAAAUUUAUAAGUCUGAUCAUUAUUUUAUUUUAUUUUUCUUACAUUUUGUCUCAGUUAAAUCUAAACCACAUUUCAUUUUUCUAUAGAAUUCAUGAGUUAAUUUUUUAAAUUAAUUGAUUUUUAAAUUUAUAUUGUGGUAUCAUACUGUUUGAUUUUUUAAAUUCAUGAGUUCAUUUUUUAAAUUCAUACUUUGGUUUUAAUUUGUGGUAUUAUACUGUUUCAAUAAUCUUUAAUUUCCAGCAUGUUUCAAUAAUCUUUACCCUCUCUUUCAUUGCUACAAUGGUUGUAUUCAAACCCAUUCCUCAUCACUGCUUCGAUGAUUCUUUGUUGCUUCACCGGCUCUUCGUUGCUUCGGUGGUUGUCAUCGGUAGCAUCAAGAUUGUUUGCCUUCAGGUAACACCUCUCUCUUCCCCUCAAGGUCUCAGUCCCCCCCUCUUCCCAACCCCACUUGGAAAUUUUCUUUGUUGUUUAGUCAUUUAUUGAUUGAUUUAAUCAAUAAAUCAAACAUUUUUGGGGUAUUAAUCAAGAAAUCGAACAGUAAUAAAGGGCUAUUUUUGGCCAAUAAGUGUUUGAAAAAAUUUCCAUCCUAUUUGGUAAGAACCCAGGAAAUAUUUUUUGUCCUGUUUGGUUGCUGGGAAAGUGGGGGAUUCAUCAACAAACUGAUGAAUCUAAACAGAUAAAUCACAUCCAUCAAGAAAGAUGUAUCCACAAAAUUCCCAUGAUACUUGGAAUCUAAACUAAGGGAUUGGCCUUUAAUAAAAUAUAUCUUGAGUUAGGUGUGAGCAUACAUGGCUAUUUGUUAAUAAAAUAUAUCUAGAGUUUUUUUUUUUUUUUAGGUGUUAUUAUGUAUUGUUGUUAACUGGAUUUGUUAUUUAGUUGUUGGUAGUGAGCUUGAUUUGGUGAAAUGUGUUGUUUGGAGGAUUUGGAUUUGUCGCAAGUUAUUUGUGUUUUUGUCUACCAUGAGAUAAUUAAUUUUGCCUACAAUUCGCUAGAAAUAUGUUGUAGGCGUGGACAAUUUUUUUUUGUAUAUUUUAAUGUGAAUUGAUGGUUUGAUUCACUACAUUUUUUUAUACAGUUUGGUUUGUAUCCACCAUAUUGGUUUCUAUUGUUUGUUUCAUGAAUAAUUACAAAAAAUAGUGUUCUAGGUGUCAUUAAUUAGCUUUCAAAAGAUGCUUCAUUCAAAUGUGCCAUUAAUUAGCUUUAUUAUAGUUCUUCAUUCAAUUUUGAAGUGCCAUUGAGACCUAUGGUAAAUAUAUGAUAUCUUUGUUCUUCCUCAUCUUUGUCUUCCUCUAGCUUCAUUUAUAUAUAUCUUAGAUUUUUCUAUUUUUCUAUUUUUUUUGUUUUUUCCUCCUCCCCUAAAAAUCAUGUCCCUUAGUGUAAAUUACGCAUGAGUUUGCUUAGUUGGUGAACUUAUAGAGUAGUGAAAAGAAGUAAAUAAAACUUUACGAAUUUAAACUACAUUCUAUUAGCUGGAGCAUUAUAUAAAAUUGUAGGUUUGGCGGAUAGAUAACACCAUUCUUUCCUCUGCUUUGGUCAGAAGGCCAAUGGAAACAGUAACAAAUAGACAAUCAUAAUAUGGCUGUUUGUCAUCUUCUUGAAGAGAUGAUUAGAUAGAGCAUUGAGUAGAUAACCUAUGUGAUGAGGUGGUAUUUAUAAUUUAUUGCCCAUUACAAACCAAGCUGAAUGAAUUUAACAAAUUUAAGAAUCAUCAUUCUUGCGUUUUUCUUUGCUAUGUAAAUAAGGUUUGUUGUUACACUUAAUUUUGAUUUUUGUUUAGCCAUCAUUGUCCAAGAAGAGUGAUUGAAUAAUAACUGAGUUGCGAGUUUGAAUAUGGAUUUGCGAACAUAAUCAAAAUUGAGGACAUCACUUUCUUGUGUUAUUCAAAGUAUUUGAGUGCAUGAUUGAUCAACUUCUAAAUAAAAUAGUUCAACUCAUGAAAAAACCUUGCAGUAUGAUGAGCUUCUUUUUUUCUUUUCUUUCAUAUGCUUAGACUUGAAUAAAAUUUUAAUUGGUAACCUCAUCCCUACUCUAGAUUUUCUUGGUUUUGUUUAAGAAAAUGUAAUCUAUGUGGGUUAGCUAUAAAAUUCAGUACAAUACUUCUUUUUCAUUUUUAUUUUCUUUUUCAAAUCCAUAUUCAAGUUCAUGAUCCAAACAGAGUUUAAAAGAAUUAAAUUGUUGGUGUUUAGUUUCCCGCACAAGAUCAUAACGAGUAAGACAUUGUUGGUGUUUAUUUGCAAUUUUUCAAUUACAUUUUAGUAGUUUUUGCUUUUCUUAAAUUGAAUGGCAGAUAAUUUGAAUACUAGGGAUAAAAGAGGAAGCAAAACCAAUUUAUAGAAGAAAAAAAAUAAAUUAAGUAAUACCAAUCUUUUGAAUCAAAAAUUUUUAGUGUAUGUACAUGAUAUACCUAAAACAAGUAUUUACUCUUCAAUGACAUUUCUUUUAUCUUUUCCUUUUUUCUUUUAUUUUUUUUUUUUCCCAAAAAUGAAAAUUUUUUGGAAAGUCAAUUCUUAGAUCUUUUUAAGGUUAAUAAUUCAAUGCUCAUAAUAUUUUCUUAUGUACAUUGAAAUAUUUCUUUUUCAUAUCUGUCUUUUGUCAAAAAAAGGUUAGCUUAGUUAUAUAUUGGAGAUGUUUUAGCGGUCGACCACCCAGGGGAAGAAUUAUUUUUGAUGAAAUUAUUUGUUGGUUGUAUGGAGCUUGACUUUAUGAAAUAUAUAUUUUUCAUUUGUUUUUUUAUCUAUUUGUCCACUUCAGGUGCAAAAGUAUAUAUUUGUUGACUUUACUACUGCAUGUGUUUCUACUCAUUUGCACUUUGGCAAGUUAGGAUAAUGUGGCAUAUCUAAAAAUUUUAGGAUUUAUUAAUUUGUAAGAAAAAUGGUAAGAUUCAUUAAUAUUUUCUUCUAAUGUUAUAGUCAGAUUGUGUUACAAAUACUUGAAAAUUUUAGGCUGAUUCAUUAUUUUUAUUUAAUGUUUGGAGUCCAAUUAUUAUUUUCAAACUGUGUAUAUGUGCAAAUCUUUUGUUAUUUGUUCAUUUAAUAAAUAGAUUCUACGAAUCAAAGUAGUAAGUGAUUGAUGUGUUUUAUUGAUAGUUUCAGUUGAAAACACAACUCAUUUUGAUAAAUUAUUUAAUUUUCGUAAAAUUUGAUGGCGGAAAAUGAUUUGUAGGUUAUUAGUUUGGCAUUUGCAUAUCUAUGUGAUUUUUUUAUUAAUUCCUUCAAUGAUAUAUUUUAUUCAUGGUAUAUGAAUUAGCUUUAUAACUUUUGUUAAUAAUGGCCUUUUUUUGUCAAUAAUGGCCCUUUUUUUUUGUCGGAAUAAUUAGGGAUGUCCUGCUUAAAGUGUUUCAAGUUCUUUGGGAAAUGUUCUACUUAUAUUUGUAAUCUACACCAGCCAUUUUUUUAUAUUUAUAUAGAUUUUCAGAAAUUAUUGAGUUAAUAGUCUAAAUGGGAUGGGAUUGAAGUUUCUGAAAAUAUGUUUUAUGUGUUGCUGGAAAUUGAUUUGCUUCUCCUGUAUUUUGGGUCUUUAACUUCUAACUUAGUUCUACAUAGAUUUGCUUCUUUCUACUUCUCUUAUAUUUUUUCCUUGCAAUAUAACUUCUCUCUUACAAGAUGUGCUUGGCUGAAAAAAUUA